ACCCAUUCAUUCCCCGCACA
This 20-nucleotide microRNA is filed under the name Ciona intestinalis (vase tunicate). Its description in RNAcentral is "cin-miR-4020b-3p". The record is from miRBase by way of RNAcentral. Lineage: Eukaryota; Metazoa; Chordata; Ascidiacea; Phlebobranchia; Cionidae.